Molecule: long non-coding RNA, 709 nt
Filed under: Setaria viridis
Lineage: Eukaryota; Viridiplantae; Streptophyta; Magnoliopsida; Poales; Poaceae
Description: long non-coding RNA (SVIR_LNC007807)
Source: RNAcentral
ACAACAAGCGUACCUGAUGAUGAGGACACCACGAGUACAUCUACACUAGCAGCACCUCAGGCGCCUCUAGUUGCUUCUCCACCUCAGGCACCUACAAUUGAUCAUCCAGUUGGGCCAAUCACUCAGGUCCGUGCGGGAGAAUUAAACUUCAUCAUGUUGUUAAGGAACGAAGGCCCAGCGGAAUAAGAAGAUGGCCCAACAGGGCAGCCCAGGUGGGGCGCCUAGGGUUGGGAGCCGCGGCCCUCCCCCUGGUCGCGCGCCCCCCUCCUACCGUGGCGCCUCCUCCCGACUCCAGGGGCUGCGCCCCCUUUAUUUAGUCGGAGUCCCUUUUGUUUACAACUUGAGUUUUGUUUUACAUAUAGCUUUAGCUACUCUCGAACACGCGCAAAUACGCGCUGUCCUCGUGUGAUUCAGAACUCCACCUUCGAGUGAUAUUGAGAUUGCUCGCGUCUUUUUCUUGUUCGUUUUUCGAUUGCGUGCAGGAAACGAUCUUCGUGAUGAGGCUGAUCUCGCACUGGCGAGGUUGGUAACCAUCGGGAGUUGGUUCAGCGAUUGCAUUGGCGCUUCGGGUUCGCUCGUCGUAGUCGGAUCGUGAGGGUCUACUUCCACCAAAUCGAAAUUAUCUCCACUCACCGAAAGAUCGGGCACUCCGCCUCUAUCACCUGAGGUGGAAGUACUAUUACUUCCACCAUUCUUCAACGAAGCUAGG